CUUGUUAGCUCUGUCCCUCAAGCACCAGGUGUUACCGGGCUGUAAAGGGCAGUCUCUGGCCCAAGUGCUGGGGCACCAGAAGAACGGCAGAGGCAAACCCCCUGCCUCCUGUGGCUGAGGUCCUUGGGACGUGGGCAACAUGGACUGUAGAGUUCCGAGGGGCGACUGGCGGAGGUGAGACCGUGGAGAGCAGAGCAGGAAAGGAGUGUGCUAGCCCGGCUCCUGUCCCACCAGGUGGCCACAGAGGACCGUCUCCUCCCUGUUGGAGAGACCUGGGGCAAAGGUGGGGUGGGGCUGCCCAGGGCCUCAAGCCCACUGUGGUGGGCACCCCCACAGAGCUCUGGAAGCACUGGGGCUCCCUCAGGACUCGGGUUGACUGGUGUGGCACCAGGGGCACUUCGGCCCCACCCAGGGGACCGCAGUGUGCCGCACUCUUUGGAAACCCUGGUUACAGCUGGGUCCCACCUGCCCUCGUGCCAAGUGUGAUGUCCACCCUGGGUGGAACUCAGUGCCCUCACCCCCAAGGGUCACUUUCCCAGCAGCUUCUGUGCCGGGGUCCAGCCCUGGCAGGAUCCAGGGGUCCUGAAGGAGGAGUGGCGUCAGCGAAAGAAGAAGAGCGGGACGACAGGUUGCAAGUUAUGAGCAGCGUCCAGAAAGACCUGCUGCCCCAGGGGGCCUCUGUUUUAUGCCUUUUUAUAGGUGUUUUUCCAGGUAGUUAAUGGAUAGCCUCAAAGCCUGGAGCUUCUUUGACUUACAUGAUUUUCAAGAGUUACCAUCUUUUCUGACAUACAGUGUUACCUAAGAUAUUGAGUACCUUGUUCAAAAUAUCGUUCUGUAGCCUUAGACAGUCAGGACGUGAGCGUCACAUUUUCACCUCAAUGUCUAGGGGCUAGGCUGCCAACAGACCACGUGUCUCCAGACUUUUAUUCACUUCUAACUUUAAAGCGUACCUAGAGUUAUUUUAUCAACCUUUAGCUUUAAAGCAUACUUAUGAUUAUUGGAAAGCUUUCUUACUUUUAAACUAAAGUCCCAGUAAAACACACUUAAAAUAGUGAAAGUCUAGUACUUAAAAGCCUACUACUCUGAAGUGCUUCUAAGAUAUAUCUAUAUUGAUCUUACAUCAUUUAUUUUUAAUUUCCAAGGUAAUUUCCUUUUUUCAUGUGACCUACUUAAUUGCUUUCUCACAGUUUCCUUGAUCCUCGGUCAAAGCAUGCCAGUUCUUAUGUCUCUG
RNAcentral lists this long non-coding RNA (1231 nucleotides) under Marmota monax (woodchuck). Lineage: Eukaryota; Metazoa; Chordata; Mammalia; Rodentia; Sciuridae. The record is from RNAcentral.